AGCGAACGCUGGCGGCAGGCUUAACACAUGCAGGUCGAGCGGACCUUUCGGGGUCAGCGGCGGACGGGUGAGUAACGCGUGGGAACGUGCCUUCCGGUUCGGAAUAACCCUGGGAAACUAGGGCUAAUACCGGAUACGCCCUUAUGGGGAAAGGUUUACUGCCGGAAGAUCGGCCCGCGUCUGAUUAGCUAGUUGGUGGGGUAACGGCCUACCAAGGCGACGAUCAGUAGCUGGUCUGAGAGGAUGAUCAGCCACACUGGGACUGAGACACGGCCCAGACUCCUACGGGAGGCAGCAGUGGGGAAUAUUGGACAAUGGGCGCAAGCCUGAUCCAGCCAUGCCGCGUGAGUGAUGAAGGCCUUAGGGUUGUAAAGCUCUUUUAUCCGGGACGAUAAUGACGGUACCGGAGGAAUAAGCCCCGGCUAACUUCGUG
This 433-nucleotide ribosomal RNA is filed under the name uncultured bacterium. RNAcentral describes it as "partial 16S ribosomal RNA". It matches the Rfam family "Bacterial small subunit ribosomal RNA", at positions 29 to 507 of the family's 1533-position model. The record is from RNAcentral.